AAGUCGUAACAAGGUUUCCGUAGGUGAACCUGCGGAAGGAUCAUUACACAGUAUUAUCGGGGGGUCGGCAAGCCGAUGCGUGCAAGCGCCUGCUUUCGUUUCGGUCCGGUGCCCUUGCUUGGUUCCUUACCCAGGUUUGCUUUUUUUGACCCCGAUUGUUUUUUUAGCCCGUUCAUCCUGCUUUUCCGUUUUCCCUGGCCGGCAAGGGGCCUUUGGCCCUUGGCCCGAUAGGACACUACCCAAACCCCAUUUGCAAAUAGAAGUCAGCGUCAGAAAAACGUAAUAAUUACAA
This 292-nucleotide unclassified non-coding RNA is filed under the name plant metagenome. RNAcentral describes it as "partial contains small subunit ribosomal RNA and internal transcribed spacer 1". The stretch from base 1 to 46 matches the Rfam family "Eukaryotic small subunit ribosomal RNA", at positions 1786 to 1831 of the family's 1831-position model. The record is from RNAcentral.